RNAcentral lists this long non-coding RNA (778 nucleotides) under Sinocyclocheilus anshuiensis. RNAcentral describes it as "lncRNA (ENSSANG00000005581.1)". The record is from RNAcentral. Lineage: Eukaryota; Metazoa; Chordata; Actinopteri; Cypriniformes; Cyprinidae.
CUUCCUACGAUGCUUGUGUUAGCGCAUGCGCAGUAGAUCUCCGAAAGUAUCGCUGAUCGGAGAGAACGAGGCGCAGACGAACGGCUCGAUCGACUGCGCGAGACGCGAUGAGUCCUAAAGUAAAACGACGCAGAGGUCGGCCUCCGAUUGCCAGAAAUGCUAGACAUGGACUUACUCGUUUAGAUUUCAAGAAAGGAUUGCAUGCAGAUCGCCCUAAAACUAAGACUGUUCGUACUAUACUGGAAAGAACACGUUCAAGUCUCACAUCAGCUACUGCCAUUCCCGUCCCAGAUCCAACCCGCACGCCUGAGGUUUUACCCCGAACACCCCAGAGCAUCAUUCACAACCCGACGUCGACAUCCCAAAGACCCCGACUCAUCCCAAUCUCACCUACAGGGGACAGCAGCCUCUCCAAGAUCCCCAAUGCUGAGUUUCACAGCCCUCCGCGUCUCACGAGGGUCUCGCCGCUCAGUAUUGACACAUCUGUGACACGGAAUUUCAUUCACUCUCCGGCUGUAAAAGUGGGCAAUGUUUCCCAACAGAUCGUUUCCUCUACUGGACCUGGGAAAGAUGGCACUGAGCCGCCCCUUCGACUCUGGCUUUGUCCCUCUAUGGAGCCCAUUAGUCCUACAAAAUCUCAGGAUACAUUCUCAGAUCAGACUGUAAGUUCACCAAAUUUUACGGAGACUACGCGUAAUGGAACAGCGACCCUAAAGGAAAGUCUUCCGUUUCUCAGGUGAACAAAUAUGACUCCUUUUAUACCACUUAGAAAGUCUAU